CCCGUACACAAAAAUGCACAUGCUGUGAGCUCGAUGAGUAGGGCGGGACACGUGGUAUCCUGUCUGAAUAUGGGGGGACCAUCCUCCAAGGCUAAAUACUCCUGACUGACCGAUAGUGAACCAGUACCGUGAGGGAAAGGCGAAAAGAACCCCGGCGAGGGGAGUGAAAAAGAACCUGAAACCGUGUACGUACAAGCAGUGGGAGCACGCUUAGGCGUGUGACUGCGUACCUUUUGUAUAAUGGGUCAGCGACUUAUAUUCUGUAGCAAGGUUAACCGAAUAGGGGAGCCGAAGGGAAACCGAGUCUUAACUGGGCGUUAAGUUGCAGGGUAUAGACCCGAAACCCGGUGAUCUAGCCAUGGGCAGGUUGAAGGUUGGGUAACACUAACUGGAGGACCGAACCGACUAAUGUUGAAAAAUUAGCGGAUGACUUGUGGCUGGGGGUGAAAGGCCAAUCAAACCGGGAGAUAGCUGGUUCUCCCCGAAAGCUAUUUAGGUAGCGCCUCGUGAAUUCAUCUCCGGGGGUAGAGCACUGUUUCGGCAAGGGGGUCAUCCCGACUUACCAACCCGAUGCAAACUGCGAAUACCGGAGAAUGUUAUCACGGGAGACACACGGCGGGUGCUAACGUCCGUCGUGAAGAGGGAAACAACCCAGACCGCCAGCUAAGGUCCCAAAGUCAUGGUUAAGUGGGAAACGAUGUGGGAAGGCCCAGACAGCCAGGAUGUUGGCUUAGAAGCAGCCAUCAUUUAAAGAAAGCGUAAUAGCUCACUGGUCGAGUCGGCCUGCGCGGAAGAUGUAACGGGGCUAAACCAUG
This 815-nucleotide ribosomal RNA is filed under the name Escherichia coli. RNAcentral describes it as "partial 23S ribosomal RNA". It matches the Rfam family "Bacterial large subunit ribosomal RNA", at positions 372 to 1191 of the family's 2925-position model. RNAcentral also lists the same sequence under 1 other name. The record is from RNAcentral. Lineage: Bacteria; Pseudomonadati; Pseudomonadota; Gammaproteobacteria; Enterobacterales; Enterobacteriaceae.